Molecule: transfer RNA, 82 nt
Filed under: Spirochaetales bacterium
Lineage: Bacteria; Pseudomonadati; Spirochaetota; Spirochaetia; Spirochaetales
Description: tRNA-Leu
Rfam family: tRNA
About the family: Transfer RNA (tRNA) molecules are approximately 80 nucleotides in length. Their secondary structure includes four short double-helical elements and three loops (D, anti-codon, and T loops). Further hydrogen bonds mediate the characteristic L-shaped molecular structure. tRNAs have two regions of fundamental functional importance: the anti-codon, which is responsible for specific mRNA codon recognition, and the 3' end, to which the tRNAs corresponding amino acid is attached (by aminoacyl-tRNA synthetases). tRNAs cope with the degeneracy of the genetic code in two manners: having more than one tRNA (with a specific anti-codon) for a particular amino acid; and 'wobble' base-pairing, i.e. permitting non-standard base-pairing at the 3rd anti-codon position.
Source: RNAcentral
GCCCAGAUGGUGAAAUUGGUAUACACGCUAGUUUCAGGUACUAGUGCCGCGAGGUGUGGGGGUUCGAGUCCCCCUCUGGGCA